RNAcentral lists this transfer RNA (62 nucleotides) under Onchidium reevesii. Its description in RNAcentral is "tRNA-Thr". It matches the Rfam family "tRNA". Rfam says of the family: Transfer RNA (tRNA) molecules are approximately 80 nucleotides in length. Their secondary structure includes four short double-helical elements and three loops (D, anti-codon, and T loops). Lineage: Eukaryota; Metazoa; Mollusca; Gastropoda; Systellommatophora; Onchidiidae. The record is from RNAcentral.
ACCGGUAUAGCUUAAUUAAAGCAUUGAUUUUGUAAUUCAAAGAUAGUAUUUACUUUCCGGUA